UUUUGAAGAAAAGUCCCAACAUCGAUCUAAAGUUCUGCACCACUCAGUUGAUCAUCACCCCACAUACCAAAAUCCUACCAACAAAACAACUCUGAAUGAUCCGACAUCAUAAUCAUUCCCUCACGAGCCGUGUCAAUUUCUUGACAUGUGCCAUGUUAAAAGUUAGUGCAUUCGAAUCCUAUGAAGAAGAACUAGUCGUUCGGAGUCCGUUAAUAGAGUCGUUGAAGAGUCCGUUAAUAGAGUCGUUGAGUUUCUUCAGGAGUUUUUUUAUAUCACUAGCUACUAUAUAAAGAGUUAGUGACCUUCCCUCAUGUACUUCACUUUCAUUAUUCAAGUGAGAAAUAAAGCAGUAGUUCUCUUAUUUUGUUCUUCAUUCUUUAAUCAAGUAUUCUGUUCCUGGUUCCAUUUAUUUGUUAUAUGGUAUCUAGAGCUUGGUUCAUAACAGGGGGUUUAUUGUUACUUAGUCAAACAAAGUUGCUCACAGGGUGUUUGUUGUUAUUACUCAGUGAAAGUGUUGUGCUGUUUGGAGUAUUUUUUCAGUCUUUUAAGAUGAACGGUGGAAGUAGUUCUUCUCAGGUUGCUGUUGAGAAGUUGGUUGCUGAUAACUACAGUUAUUGGAAGCUGUGCAUGGAGGCCUAUUUACAAGGGCAGGACUUGUGGGAGCUUAUCUUUGGUGUGGAAACUGUAAUUCCAGAAGAUACUCCGCAAAAUGGCGAGCUCCGACGAAAGUGGAGGAUUAAGUGCGGAAAAGCCUUAUUUGCUUUGAGGACUUCGAUAAGCAAAGAAUACAUUCAACAUGUUCGUGAGAUGAAUUCACCAAAGCAAGUGUGGGAGACACUCGAAAGAUUUUUACUCAAAAGAAUACGAUGAGGCUGCAAUUUCUGGAGAACGAACUUGCUGGAAUGAUUCAAGGUAAUCUGUCAAUUCCAGAGUAUUUUGUGAAAGUUAAAACUUUAUGUUCUGAAGUUUCAGAGUUAGAUUCGGAGGAGCCUAUCAGCGAUGCACGCUUGCGUCAUUAUCUUAUUCGUGGAUUGAGGAAAGAGUUCAUGCCAUUCAUUUCAUCGGUCCAAGGGUGGGCAGACCAGCCAUCCAUCAUUGAUUUAGAAAACCUUCUUUCGAAUCAGGAAGCUUUGGUGAAACAAAUGUCCAGUAAUCCUCACUCUCAAGAAGAUAAUGCUCUUUAUACUAGAGAUCAGGGGAAGCAUAAGUCUCCAUCCAAGCAGUUUGGAAAUGAAAGGGAACCGAGGGACAGUACUAAAACAUGUUUUCGAUGUGGAAAGGAGGGGCAUUUCAAGUGUGACUGCCGCGUGAAGGUGACUUGUUCUCGAUGUGGCAAAUCAGGUCAUAUCAAGAAAUUCUGUCGAGUAAAGCUUCGUGACGAGGACACCAAUACAGCUUAUGAAGUUGAAGAGUCUGAUGAUACAAAUGGGAGCAAUGUUUUUCUAUUGAAGUUAUUGAUCAACCAGCAGAUAUGGCUUCUGUAAUGCACCCAACUGAGGGUACUGAUAUUAAUUAUGAGAAGGAGUGGAUCGUUGACUCGGGGUGUUCCCAUCAUGCCACAGGAGAUGUUACUUUACUUUCCGAUGUUCGACCACAUGAAGGAAAAUGAGUUACUAUGACGGCUGACAAUUCAUUACAUCCUGUAAUGAAAGAAGGAAACUUCAAUGUUGAUAGUUUAAAUGAUAUUGAACGUGUCUCUCUCAAGGAUGUCUAUCAUGUUCCUGGUCUAAAGAAGAAUCUCGCAUCAGUUUCUCAAAUAACGGACAGCAGUAAGUAUGUGUUGUUUGGUCCAAAUAAUGUCCAAAUUCUUGAUCAAUUGAAACAUGUUGCUGCUAAUGUUUUUUCACUGGAAGAAAGAAGAAUUCUUUGUAUGUUUUAUCUGCCAGCGAAGCAUAUAUUCAAAAGACCAGCAAGAAUACAAGUCCUUCAGUUUGGCAUGCUCGGCUAGGCCACGUUGGCUACCAGUUGCUACAACAGAUUUCCACCAAAAUCUGCUUGAUGGUGUUCCUUUCUUCAAGGAUUUCAAUACAAAUGUAAUCUGUGUUGGUUGUCAAUAUCGAAAGUCGCAUAGGCUUCCAUUCCAGAAAUCAACAAAUCGAGCGACAUGUGUGCUUCAGCUAGUUCAUUCAGAUCUAAUGGGGCCUACAAAAACACCAAGCUACAGUGGGUUUCAGUAUGCAAUGAUCAUGGUGGAUGACUUCUCUCGUUUUACUUGGGUCUAUUUUUUACACCAGAAGAGUGAAGCAUUCCCUAAAUUCAUUCAAUUCAAGCGACAAGUAGAGCAGGAGUUUGGCCAGACUAUAAAGUGUUUGCGUACUGAUAAUGGGGGUGAAUACAUGAGAAUUUCUCACAUACUGUGACCAACAAAGAAUUCAACGACAAUUGACAUGUCCAAAUACGCCACAGCAAAAUGGCGUGGUUGAGCGGAAGUUAGCCCAUCUCACUGUUGUUUGCUUGUCUUGGUUGCAUGAGAAACGCCUUCCAAGGGAGUUGUGGGCUGAAGCUAUGCAAUGUGCGUGUCAUGUCAUAAAUCGGUAACCCUCAUGGCCAGGUAAAGAAGCUUCUCCGUUUGAACUGGUUUAUAUCACGAAACCAAAUGUGAGUUAUUUUCGGGUGUUUGGUUCACUUUGUUAUGUUCAUGUCCCUAAAAGUAGUCGCACCAAGCUUGAUCCCAAGGCCCGAAAAUGUGUUUUUGUUGGCUAUGAUUCAAGACGUAAAGGCUGGCGAUGUAUGGAUCCUCAAACAAAACAGUUUAUUAUUUCGCGUGAUGUAGUUUUUGAUGAGGUUUCAUCAUAUUAUGCUGCUGAAAAUUUGGGGAGUGAUGUUGUCCCUCUAGCCAUUCUCUAAUGGUAUUGUUUCCAGAGAAAGGGGGAGCAACAACUUGUUAUCUGCACCACCAGUUCAACAAGACCAAGCUGAAAUUCGGAGGUCAACAAGGGAAAGGAGGCAACCUGAGUAUCUCCAUGAUUUUGAAGGUCAUGUCAACUAUUCUAGUGUUACUUCUUGUUUUCUCUUCGGUAUGUCAUGUGAUGAUAGUGCACCUCAGUGUUACAAAGAAGCUAAAGGAGUAGCUGAAUGGGAAGCAGCUAUGCAUGAAGAAAUAAGGGCUCUGCGUCAAAACGACACAUGGGAGCUAGUACCAAAGCCAAAUGACGCUGAGCUGGUCACAUGCAAAUGGAUUUUCAAACUGAAAAAGAAGGUUGAUGGGACGGUUGACAGGUACAAAGCGCGCUUCGUUGCACGUGGUUUUUCUCAGCAAUAUGGCCUGGAUUAUGAGGAGACAUUCAGUCCAGUUGCUAAGAUGGUAAUAAUUCGCACUAUCAUUUCAUUGGCUGCAUAUAACAGAUGGAACCUAUGGCAACUUGAUGUGAAAAAUGCUUUUCUUUAUGGUGAGUUGGAUCGUGCAAUCUUUAUGGAGCAGCCCCAAGGCUUUAUUUCACAUGAGUUUCCAAAUCAUGUGUGCCGACUCAAGAAGGCCUUAUACGGUCUCAAGCAAGCCCCACGUGCCUGGUAUGGUCAAAUUGCGCAAUACCUUUCUUUUUGUGGCUUUCAUUCUUCGAGCUCAGAUCCUAGUUUAUUUUUCAAGGUCACUUCUUCCAUGUACACCAUUCUUCUUUUUUAUGUGGAUGAUAUGAUAAUCAGCGGUGACAAUGAUGCUGAAAUUUUACAUCUGCGAGAUGAAUUAUCUAUUCGAUUUGAAAUGAAGAAUCUCGGGGAGGCUCAUUCCUUCCUUGGAUUAGAAAUUAUUAAAACAGAUGGAUACUUUCUUUGUCAAGGGUCUUAUGCAUCAAGUUUGUUAGAACGUUUUGGCAUGGCAGAUUCAACGCCACUCACUACACCAAUGGAGCCACUACAGAAAAUUGAAGGUGAGCCACUGGAGGAUUCCACCAAGUACCGCCAACUUGUGGGUAGUCUGUUCUAUCUAACUAUCACACGCCCUGAUUUGGCAUAUUCAGUUGGAGUUGUUUCUCAGUUUAUGGACAAUCCAUGUGAUGGACAUUUGAUUGCGGCAAAGAGAAUUCUUCGUUAUGUGAAAAGCACACUGCAGUUUGGUCUUCUCUAUAAACCAAAAGUCUCCUUGUCUUUGUAUGGUUUCACGGAUGCUGAUUGGGCUGGCGAUGUCAUUACUCGACGUUCGACAACUGGGUAUUGCUUUUCUCUUGGCUCUGCUGUUGUUUCUUGGUGUAGUAAGAAACAACAAACGGUCUCUCUUUCUAGCACCGAAGCUGAAUAUGUGGCAGCCACUACGGCCACCCAGGCGACUCGUUCAAGAUAUUGGUGUUCGUAUGGAUUAUCCAAUUCCUAUUGGUUGCGACAAUGAAAGCACAAUCAAGCUAGCAGGUAAUCCAGUGUUUCAUGCCCGUACUAAGCACAUAGAAAUUCACCACCAUUUUGUCCGUGAAAAAGUGUAAGGACAAGUGAUCAAGUUGCUGAUGUAUUGACAAAAGCUCUUCCAAGAGCUAACUUUGAAUUGUUUCGCAGUGCUCUAGGCCUUACUGAGCGUGCGUCUGCACUAUGGGGGAGUGUUAAAAGUUAGUGCAUCCGAAUCCUAUGAAGAAGAACUAGUCGUUCGGAGUCCGUUAAUAGAGUCGUUGAAGAGUGAACUAGUGGUUGAAGAGUCCGUUAAUAGAGUCGUUGAGUUUCUUCAGGAGUUUUUUUAUAUCACUAGCUUAAUAAAGAGUUAGUGACCUUCCCUCAUGUACUUCACUUUCAUUAUUCAAGUGAGCAAUAAAGCAGUAGUUCUCUUAUUCUGUUCUUCAUUCUUUAAUCAAGUAUUCUGUUCCUGGUUCCAUUUAUUUGUUAUAUGCCAGUAUGACAUCAUUUUCUUCAAUGGUAUUCCACAUUUGAUGAUUAUUCUGACAGUAUGGCUUAUCUAAGCUGCCAACUGCUUAUUUAGAUAUCUAUAUCAAUCCAUAACUCAACUUCAUCUAUGGUGUAGGAUAAAGGUUACAUUAUGUAUCCAGCCAAAUUUUCAGAGGCUGUACUCUUUUAACUUUCAGCUCAACCAAAGUCUCAACUUUCAACUUCGACACAGUUUUGCUAAAAACUUACCAGGGCAGAAUCCUUAACUCAUGCAAUAUAACACUGCUGUUUGCCAAGCAUUUAAUUUUCUCCUUA
Molecule: long non-coding RNA, 5118 nt
Filed under: Aquilegia coerulea
Lineage: Eukaryota; Viridiplantae; Streptophyta; Magnoliopsida; Ranunculales; Ranunculaceae
Description: long non-coding RNA (ACOE_LNC000363)
Source: RNAcentral